CGCAUCUGUGCAUGCAGCAUAUCAAUAAGCGGAGGAAAAGAAACUAACAAGGAUUCCCCUAGUAACGGCGAGUGAAGCGGGAAGAGCUCAAAUUUGAAAUCUUAAAGGGUUUCCCUUUACGAAUUGUAGUUUAAAGAAGUGUUUUCUGUAGAGGUUUUGGUAAAAGUUCUUUGAAAUAGGACAUCAUAGAGGGUGAGAAUCCCGUAUUUGACCUUUACUUUCAACUUUGUGAUACACUUUCAAAGAGUCGGAUUGUUUGGGAAUGCAGUCCAAAAUGGGUGGUAAAUUUCAUCUAAAGCUAAAUAUUGGCGAGAGACCGAUAGCGAACAAGUACCGUGAGGGAAAGAUGAAAAGAACUUUGAAAAGAGAGUUAAACAGUACGUGAAAUUGUCAAAAGGGAAGCGUUUGACACCAGUGUUGUUUUUCUGAAAAUCAAUUAAAGAACUGUUUAUGCUAAGCUGUUUAGACUUUAUCAGCUAUCUGUUUAGUUUUGAGCCUUUCUUUAAUGCACUUUUCAGUUAACAAGUCAACAUCAAUUUCUUUUGCUGUAAAAAAGCUUGAGGAAGGUGGCUUGAGAUUCGUCUUAAGUGUUUAUAGCCUCUUGCCUAUGCAGUCGGAGAGAUUGAGGUCUGCAGCGUAGAUCCUUCGGGGCUAAAUGCAUUUGUGCUAAGUUAUAGCAUUUUAUAGACAACUUGUUGACUAUGAUUUGUCUUGUAGCUUACUCGCUUAUGUUAUUUUACCUACGCUUAGGAUGUUGAGUCAUCACACAUCUCU
This 774-nucleotide ribosomal RNA is filed under the name uncultured Neocallimastigales. RNAcentral describes it as "partial large subunit ribosomal RNA". It matches the Rfam family "Eukaryotic large subunit ribosomal RNA", at positions 26 to 614 of the family's 3401-position model. The record is from RNAcentral. Lineage: Eukaryota; Fungi; Neocallimastigomycota; Neocallimastigomycetes; Neocallimastigales.